Carcharodon carcharias (great white shark) is the source of this 1370-nucleotide long non-coding RNA. RefSeq lists it as uncharacterized. NCBI's taxonomy places the organism in Eukaryota, Metazoa, Chordata, Chondrichthyes, Lamniformes, Lamnidae. The transcript is spliced from 2 exons. The record is from RefSeq and is a predicted model, not a curated record.
AUGACCGAUACCUAGGAGUGAGUUAGACUGGUAUCUAAUUGAUAGGUACGGUCUUGAAAUUGCUGUAAUAAUUUGAGAUUUUUAAAAAUGCAUCUCCUUACAAUUUCAUGGGCUGUUUCUCAUGGUGGGUUAGGUGAUGCACGUUUUUAUUUUGACGGGAACAUUGGACCAUACAAUGCACAACCUAUUGUACUGCUGUUAAGUUGAUGCUGUUUUUUUGCUGUGACCUGUCUUUUUUAAGGCUGUAAAGCCGAACUGCUGUAAGUAAACACAGGUCAGUCUGAGUGUAAUUUGUGCUGAUGAAAAUUGCCAAGUGCUAAUAACCAGAUCAAAAUACUUGUCUUGUGAAAAUCGUAACCUUUUUCAAGUGUUACAGAUGCAGCCAAACACAAGACUUAUAGUGGAGUAUGAGAGCUAGGGGUAUUCCAUAGUUAGGGUAGUGGAAUAUGAAGUAGGGGUAUUCUAUUAGUGUAGCAGUGCAUCUUUUAGUGAGUGAAGAACCUGAGUGGUCUCAGGUCCAAUGUGAAAUAACAAUAUAAACAAUAUGAUCUAUAGCUGUCAGCCACAAAAAUUGGGAGAAAUCAGAUAAGUAAAAUCUGUAUUUUUUUUAGUCUGCACGUCAUUGCUUCUCACUCUUGGUACUGUGUGUGUGUGUGUGUUAAAGGACAUAGUAUUUGCACUCUGGACACAUUAGCAAUCAUAAUGUAGAGUAGGGAGGAUCAAGCAGCUGUGUUUGAGGGAAGUGGAACACAGCAGGAAAAAGGAUAAUGGAAAACUGAAAAGAAAGAAAGAGGAGGGGCAGUGGAAGGAUGCCUGAGGCAAGAGAGCAGAUCCUAAAAGAUAGACCUUCCCCCCCCCACCACCAAUCAUGAUGUGUGGUAGUUUCUGUGAGUUCUAUGAUUAUUUAAUAGCCUGUGUGGUUUUGUAAUUGGCUCCUGGUUCAAAUUCUCCUCUCACCAACAGAAGUUUCCUCCGCCAGUAAAUGCCUCGAUAAAAAGACUCUCCUUAAAUGGCCUCCACUCAUCCAGCUGCUAAUUGACUGACUGACUGCCAGCAUUAACUGGCCUUGGGCAGAGAGAGAGAGAGAGAGACUGCCAAGCUGCUACUAAGUGGGAGGAGCCCAGCUCAAUGCACUUCCUUUCUUUGGCUCGUAGGUUUAAUGGAGGCAAGUAGACCGCAACAUGUGCUAUGUACAAGCUGCUUUUACAUAGAACAAAGGGUGGUGAAAGUGAAGGGGUGAGACUUACUGAGCCUUUACUGGUUCCACCCAACUAGUUUACAAAGUGUGAUUUGCAGUUGUUGUCUGCACAACUUUUAAUGUAAGAUUAACUCCCAAUUGGGAAGAAUAAUUAACAUUAUAAAAAAAAAUU